GGGUACUUGUACCUGGUGGCGAGCGGCGGACGGGUGAGUAAUGCCUAGGAAUCUGCCUGGUAGUGGGGGAUAACGCUCGGAAACGGACGCUAAUACCGCAUACGUCCUACGGGAGAAAGCAGGGGACCUUCGGGCCUUGCGCUAUCAGAUGAGCCUAGGUCGGAUUAGCUAGUUGGUGAGGUAAUGGCUCACCAAGGCUACGAUCCGUAACUGGUCUGAGAGGAUGAUCAGUCACACUGGAACUGAGACACGGUCCAGACUCCUACGGGAGGCAGCAGUGGGGAAUAUUGGACAAUGGGCGAAAGCCUGAUCCAGCCAUGCCGCGUGUGUGAAGAAGGUCUUCGGAUUGUAAAGCACUUUAAGUUGGGAGGAAGGGCAUUUACCUAAUACGUAAGUGUUUUGACGUUACCGACAGAAUAAGCACCGGCUAACUCUGUGCCAGCAGCCGCGGUAAUACAGAGGGUGCAAGCGUUAAUCGGAAUUACUGGGCGUAAAGCGCGCGUAGGUGGUUUGUUAAGUUGAAUGUGAAAUCCCCGGGCUCAACCUGGGAACUGCAUUCAAAACUGGCAAGCUAGAGUAUGGUAGAGGGUGGUGGAAUUUUCUGUGUAGCGGUGAAAUGCGUAGAUAUAGGAAGGAACACCAGUGGCGAA
This 650-nucleotide ribosomal RNA is filed under the name Pseudomonas syringae. RNAcentral's name for it is "bacterial SSU rRNA". It matches the Rfam family "Bacterial small subunit ribosomal RNA", at positions 74 to 719 of the family's 1533-position model. Lineage: Bacteria; Pseudomonadati; Pseudomonadota; Gammaproteobacteria; Pseudomonadales; Pseudomonadaceae. The record is from RNAcentral.